RNAcentral lists this unclassified non-coding RNA (301 nucleotides) under Rhizophagus sp. (in: glomeromycetes). Its description in RNAcentral is "partial contains 5.8S ribosomal RNA and internal transcribed spacer 2". Lineage: Eukaryota; Fungi; Glomeromycota; Glomeromycetes; Glomerales; Glomeraceae. The record is from RNAcentral.
GGGAAGAAGAGAAGGGGGGAAAGAAAAGGGAGCUUGUUGGCAUCCCGGGAAGUAUGCCUGUUUGAGGGUCAGUAUUAACACAACAUCGGUUUGGUUGCAAAUUGUGACGUUUCCGGAGUUUGGGCUAUCUUAACUUUUUUGGUUACGGGGCUUAAAAUUGACCUUUUUUGCGCAUUUUUAGACGUACAUAAAUUUUUUUUUUAUUCGUCCACUCUUAAUGCCAAAAUCUUACUAGAUGCGAUCACAACAUGUGGUUUCGUGUCAAUAAACUUUUCAUGAUUUGACCUCAAAUCAGGUAGGA